AGUCUUAUAGUCAAUAAUGAUAUAAAAUUGCAAAUUUUAAGGAGUAAUUAUAAAUACUAAGGCUU
Molecule: transfer RNA, 65 nt
Filed under: Parnassius apollonius
Lineage: Eukaryota; Metazoa; Arthropoda; Insecta; Lepidoptera; Papilionidae
Description: tRNA-Cys
Source: RNAcentral